CAGCACGGAUUAGUUUACUAAUUGGGUGGCGACCGGCGCACGGGUGCGUAACGCGUAUGCAACCUACCUUGUACUGGGGUAUAGCCCGGAGAAAUUCGGAUUAAUCCCCCAUAGUAUUAAACAACCGCAUGGUUGAAUAAUUAAAGGUUACGGUACAAGAUGGGCAUGCGUCCUAUUAGCUAGAUGGUGAGGUAACGGCUCACCAUGGCGACGAUAGGUAGGGGGCCUGAGAGGGUGGUCCCCCACACUGGUACUGAGACACGGACCAGACUCCUACGGGAGGCAGCAGUGAGGAAUAUUGGUCAAUGGGCGCAAGCCUGAACCAGCCAUGCCGCGUGCAGGAAGAAUGCCCUAUGGGUUGUAAACUGCUUUUAUUUAGGAAUAAACUCUUGUACGUGUACAAGCCUGAAGGUACUAAAUGAAUAAGCACCGGCUAACUCCGUGCCAGCAGCCGCGGUAAUACGGAGGGUGCAAGCGUUAUCCGGAAUCAUUGGGUUUAAAGGGUCCGC
This 509-nucleotide ribosomal RNA is filed under the name uncultured bacterium. RNAcentral's name for it is "bacterial SSU rRNA". It matches the Rfam family "Bacterial small subunit ribosomal RNA", at positions 67 to 572 of the family's 1533-position model. The record is from RNAcentral.